Molecule: ribosomal RNA, 433 nt
Filed under: uncultured bacterium
Lineage: Bacteria
Description: partial 16S ribosomal RNA
Rfam family: Bacterial small subunit ribosomal RNA
Source: RNAcentral
AACGAACGCUGGCGGCAGGCCUAACACAUGCAAGUCGAGCGAGGACUUCGGUCCUAGCAGCGGACGGGUGAGUAACACGUGGGAACGUGCCCUUUGCUUCGGAAUAGCCCUGGGAAACUGGGAGUAAUACCGGAUGAGCCCUUUGGGGGAAAGAUUUAUCGGCGAAGGAUCGGCCCGCGUUGGAUUAGGUAGUUGGUGGGGUAAUGGCCUACCAAGCCGACGAUCCAUAGCUGGUUUGAGAGGAUGAUCAGCCACACUGGGGCUGAGACACGGCCCAGACUCCUACGGGAGGCAGCAGUGGGGAAUCUUAGACAAUGGGGGAAACCCUGAUCUAGCCAUGCCGCGUGAGCGAUGAAGGCCUUAGGGUUGUAAAGCUCUUUCAGCUGGGAAGAUAAUGACGGUACCAGCAGAAGAAGCCCCGGCUAACUCCGUG